AUGAUAGAAAAGGGAUUACGCAUUGCACAGGUCCAUUAUAGUUGCAAAAUGUAAAGAAACAAUUGCUUACGUCACACGGCGCAGUAAAAUAUUUGACAGCUAUAAAUUCGUGGUAGCAAUCAAUGUGAAUAGAGAAACAAUUUAUUUUAAAAGUAUAAUUUUGUAUUUAAAUAUCAAAAUGAAGUGUGUUGUGAAAAACUGUGUCAAUGAUAGAAGGAAUAAAAAUGUGAAGAAAACAUUUUUUAUGUUUCCGAACUACAAAGGGCAGCAAAAAAAGUGGAUCCAAUUUUGCAGAAAUACUCAAGCAUUUAAGCCGAAAACAUGGCGAAUUUGCAUGGACCACUUCAACGAUGAAGACAUUAUUGGAAACGGGAUGUUCGAAAUGGGUAAGUUGAUAAAUCACUUUUGUUUUAAAAUAUUUUAAUUUUAAACUUUUCAUAGGCCUUGCCGCCAAAAGGACUUUGAAACCAGGAGCUAUUCCCUGUCGCUAUAACGUUGCAGCUUGUGAAAAUUAGCAGCGAGCCACCAGAGCUAAGCGCAGGGAAAAUAAGAAAAUAGUGACUUCGUUGCUGAUAAAUGUUGACCAGCCUCAAGAAGUGGGAGUAUAGUGUAUACCUGCUGAAGAUUUUAACGUGACUGAGGAUUGUGCAGACCUUUCAAUGGAAAAUAGUUUCAAUGAAUUGUGCACUGAAGACGCUGCUAUUAAGGAAAUAAAAAUGCUAAAGAAAAAAGUAAUACUACUUCAAACUGAAAAUAAAAAACUUAAAGAAGAUUUUUCCCAUGCCAAGCGCAAACUUGAAUAUGAAAUAGGCGAGUUAAAAGUAAAACUAGCUAAAUCUGAGUUUUACUACAAAAAUGUUGAAGAAAAGUUAAAGAGGAUUUUUAUGGACGGUCAGAUAAAAAAAAUUGAAAAACGGAUCCAAAAGGCAAAUUUGGACGCAGACUGACAUAGCCAACUCCAUUACACUAUAUUCUGCUAGUGCAAAAGGAUAUAGACUUUUAAGAAGAAGCAAUUUUCCGCUUCCAGCAGUAAUCUUCAGCUUCAGUAAUGGGCUCAGAAGGUGGAAAUAGACCGCGGCAUUUUAAAGCCGGUUGUUCAAGUUCUUGGUGAAACUAGGCAUAUGACCAAAGAACAAAAACUUUGCGUUUUAAGUUUCGACGAAGCCAAGCUACGAGAAGUUUUUUGUUACGACAAAGUAUCCGAUACUGUCUUACCACCUGUUAAGAAUGUUCAAGUCGGAAUGCUUAGAGGUCUUGUUGGAAAUUGGAAACAACCAAUUUUUUACGAUUUUGACCGCAAUAUGACGACAGAUAUUAUUAACGAUAUAAUUAAAACAGCGAAAAACUGUGAAUACAACGUUGUUGGUAUUGUUUGCGAUUUAGGUGGAACCAACAGAAGCCUUUUAAAUAGCUUAAAUAUUAGCCCAGAAAAACCAUGGUAGGUGCAUUUAUUAAGCUGACUAUUUGCAAUUCUUUGUAAGAGAUUACAGUAUUUUUUCUUUG
This is a long non-coding RNA of Bactrocera dorsalis (oriental fruit fly), 1503 nucleotides long. RefSeq lists it as uncharacterized. The transcript has 3 exons. The record is from RefSeq and is a predicted model, not a curated record. Lineage: Eukaryota; Metazoa; Arthropoda; Insecta; Diptera; Tephritidae.